GAUGAACGCUGGCGGCGUGCCUAAUACAUGCAAGUCGAGCGAACAGACGAGGAGCUUGCUCCUCUGACGUUAGCGGCGGACGGGUGAGUAACACGUGGAUAACCUACCUAUAAGACCGGGAUAACUUCGGGAAACCGGAGCUAAUACCGGAUAACAUGUUGAACCGCAUGGUUCAACAGUGAAAGACGGUCUUGCUGUCGCUUAUAGAUGGAUCCGCGCCGCAUUAGCUAGUUGGUAAGGUAACGGCUUACCAAGGCAACGAUGCGUAGCCGACCUGAGAGGGUGAUCGGCCACACUGGAACUGAGACACGGUCCAGACUCCUACGGGAGGCAGCAGUAGGGAAUCUUCCGCAAUGGGCGAAAGCCUGACGGAGCAACGCCGCGUGAGUGAAGAAGGUCUUCGGAUCGUAAAACUCUGUUAUUAGGGAAGAACAAAUGUGUAAGUAACUAUGCACGUCUUGACGGUACCUAAUCAGAAAGCCACGGCUAACUACGUG
RNAcentral lists this ribosomal RNA (497 nucleotides) under uncultured bacterium. Its description in RNAcentral is "partial 16S ribosomal RNA". It matches the Rfam family "Bacterial small subunit ribosomal RNA", at positions 28 to 507 of the family's 1533-position model. The record is from RNAcentral.